This 535-nucleotide ribosomal RNA is filed under the name Characidium zebra. RNAcentral's name for it is "partial small subunit ribosomal RNA". It matches the Rfam family "Bacterial small subunit ribosomal RNA", at positions 657 to 1402 of the family's 1533-position model. Lineage: Eukaryota; Metazoa; Chordata; Actinopteri; Characiformes; Crenuchidae. The record is from RNAcentral.
UAAAGCCGAAGACCUUCCAAGCCGUCGCACGCACCCCGAAGGCACGAAGCCCACAUACGAAAGUAGCUUUACUAUUAAACCGACCCCACGAAAGCUAAGAAACAAACUGGGAUUAGAUACCCCACUAUGCUUAGCCUUAAACCCAGAUGCUUAAAAUACAAACACAUCCGCCAGGGUACUACGAGCGCUAGCUUAAAACCCAAGGGACUUGACGGUGUCUUAGACCCACCUAGAGGAGCCUGUUCUAGAACCGAUAAUCCUCGUUUAACCUCACCACCCCUUGUCCACUCCGCCUAUAUACCGCCGUCGCAAGCUUACCCUGUGAAGGAACCAUAGUAAGCAAAAUGGGUAAAACCCAAAACGUCAGGUCGAGGUGUAGCUAAUGGGGCGGGAAGAAAUGGGCUACAUUUUCUGAAACAGAAAAUCACGAACAACACCAUGAAAACUGGUAUUUGAAGGUGGAUUUAGCAGUAAAAAAUAAGCAGAGCGUAUUUUUGAAUCAGGCUCUGAGACGCGCACACACCGCCCGUCACUC